AAGCGAAACCAUCCCCGGCCUGGCCGGGGGUGGUCUGCCCGCCGUGGUGGCCGGGUACUGACGAGCAGCCGAGG
RNAcentral lists this non-coding RNA (74 nucleotides) under Pseudomonas putida. The record is from RNAcentral. Lineage: Bacteria; Pseudomonadati; Pseudomonadota; Gammaproteobacteria; Pseudomonadales; Pseudomonadaceae. RNAcentral also lists the same sequence under 1 other name.